UGAAGCGGGAAAAGCUCAAAUUUAAAAUCUGGCAGUCUUUUGACUGUCCGAGUUGUAAUCUAGAGAAGUGCUAUCCGUGCUGGACCAUGUAUAAGUCUCCUGGGAUGGAGCAUCACAGAGGGUGAGAAUCCCGUCUAUGACAUGGACUCCCAGUGCAUUGUGAUGUGCUCUCAAAGAGUCGAGUUGUUUGGGAAUGCAGCUCUAAAUGGGUGGUAAAUUCCAUCUAAAGCUAAAUAUUGGCGAGAGACCGAUAGCGAACAAGUACCGUGAGGGAAAGAUGAAAAGAACUUUGGAAAGAGAGUUAAACAGUACGUGAAAUUGUUGAAAGGGAAACGCUUGAAGUCAGUCACAUUGGCUGGGGAUCAACUCUGCUCUUUUGCUGGGUGUACUUCCUAGUUAAUGGGUCAGCAUCAAUUUUGAUCACUGGAAAAAGGUAGAGGGAAUGUGGCAUCUUAGGAUGUGUUAUAGCCCUUUAUUGUAUACAGUGGUUGGGAUUGAGGAUAUCAGCACGCCGUAAGGCUGGGUCAUUGACCACACUCGUGCUUAGGAUGCUGGCAUAAUGGCUUUAAUCGACCCGUCUUGAAACACGGACCAAGGAGUCUAACAUGCCUGCGAGUGUUUGGGUGGAAAACCCAAGCGCGUAAUGAAAGUGAAAGUUGAGAUCCCUGUCAUGGGGAGCAUCGACGCCCGGACCAGAACUUUUGGGACGGAUCUGCGGUAGAGCAUGUAUGUUGGGACCCGAAAGAUGGUGAACUAUGCCUGAAUAGGGCGAAGCCAGAGGAAACUCU
This 788-nucleotide ribosomal RNA is filed under the name Amanita manicata. Its description in RNAcentral is "eukaryotic LSU rRNA". It matches the Rfam family "Eukaryotic large subunit ribosomal RNA", at positions 94 to 865 of the family's 3401-position model. The record is from RNAcentral. Lineage: Eukaryota; Fungi; Basidiomycota; Agaricomycetes; Agaricales; Amanitaceae.